AAAAGAAUGGCUUGUCCUUCAUCGAGACUUCUGCCUUGGAUUCAACAAAUGUAGAAACUGCUUUUCAAACCAUCCUAACAGAAAUCUAUCGCAUUGUGUCUCAGAAGCAAAUGUCAGACAGACACGAGAAUGAAAUGUCUCCGAGCAACAACGUCGUGCCCAUCCACGUCUCUCCCACCACCGAAAAUAACCCAAAGAUGCAGUGCUGUCAA
Molecule: long non-coding RNA, 212 nt
Organism: Polyodon spathula (Mississippi paddlefish)
Lineage: Eukaryota; Metazoa; Chordata; Actinopteri; Acipenseriformes; Polyodontidae
Exons: 2
Source: RefSeq, a predicted model, not a curated record